AUUGCUUCUCAGGCUUUUGGAGAAACUCGAGUGCAUGUUCUUACCAAAUUCAUAUCUGAUAGGUUCUUCCUGUAAGGACUUGUUGUUAAAUGGCAAUGUAGAGCCAGGAAAUGCUUUAGGAGCUUGCUGCUGCAGCUCCACACAUUGCCCUGGUACUACAGUGUCUUCAAGUGCACUGUGACCCCC
This is a small nuclear RNA of Rhea pennata, 186 nucleotides long. RefSeq annotates it as U2 spliceosomal RNA. The record is from RefSeq and is a predicted model, not a curated record. NCBI's taxonomy places the organism in Eukaryota, Metazoa, Chordata, Aves, Rheiformes, Rheidae. The transcript has a single exon.